RNAcentral lists this ribosomal RNA (253 nucleotides) under uncultured bacterium. RNAcentral describes it as "partial 16S ribosomal RNA". It matches the Rfam family "Bacterial small subunit ribosomal RNA", at positions 524 to 776 of the family's 1533-position model. The record is from RNAcentral.
UACGUAGGGUCCGAGCGUUGUCCGGAAUUAUUGGGCGUAAAGGGCUCGUAGGCGGUCUGUCGCGUCGGCUGUGAAAACCCGAGGCUCAACCUCGGGCCUGCAGUCGAUACGGGCAGGCUGGAGUUCGGUAGGGGAGACUGGAAUUCCUGGUGUAGCGGUGAAAUGCGCAGAUAUCAGGAGGAACACCGGUGGCGAAGGCGGGUCUCUGGGCCGAUACUGACGCUGAGGAGCGAAAGCGUGGGGAGCGAACAGG